UUAUAUAUCUGUACAAUCUUUGAAGUUCUCAGAAUUUGAAAGUUAAUUUUUCUUUCCACAUUUAGGAAUCUUCUGACAUCUUCAACUGCUUUGUGAAGUCUACUACAGUAUACUGCAAGUAAAAUGAUUUCCUAGUCUUCUGAAAAGAAUAUCUUACUCUGCGUUUGUGACAUACGUGCAUCAUCAUGCUUUCCAGUUUCAGACAUAAUGGGCAGCCCUAUGCCCAACAUGAGGCCUGAACUCACCGCCCCAAGACCAAGUGUUGCACACUCCACUGACUGAGUCAGCCAGGCGCCCCGGUUUUUGGUAAUUUCAAAUUUGAUUUAUUUUAUAGUUUGAUAUGCAAACUUAGAGAAAAGUUG
RNAcentral lists this long non-coding RNA (362 nucleotides) under Felis catus (domestic cat). Its description in RNAcentral is "lncRNA (ENSFCAG00000048378.1)". Lineage: Eukaryota; Metazoa; Chordata; Mammalia; Carnivora; Felidae. The record is from RNAcentral.